RNAcentral lists this ribosomal RNA (441 nucleotides) under bacterium. Its description in RNAcentral is "bacterial SSU rRNA". It matches the Rfam family "Bacterial small subunit ribosomal RNA", at positions 42 to 473 of the family's 1533-position model. The record is from RNAcentral.
UCACGGCCUAACACAUGCAAGUCGAGCGGACAGAAGGGAGCUUGCUCCCGGAUGUUAGCGGCGGACGGGUGAGUAACACGUGGGUAACCUGCCUGUAAGACUGGGAUAACUCCGGGAAACCGGAGCUAAUACCGGAUAGUUCCUUGAACCGCAUGGUUCAAGGAUGAAAGACGGUUUCGGCUGUCACUUACAGAUGGACCCGCGGCGCAUUAGCUAGUUGGUGAGGUAACGGCUCACCAAGGCGACGAUGCGUAGCCGACCUGAGAGGGUGAUCGGCCACACUGGGACUGAGACACGGCCCAGACUCCUACGGGAGGCAGCAGUAGGGAAUCUUCCGCAAUGGACGAAAGUCUGACGGAGCAACGCCGCGUGAGUGAUGAAGGUUUUCGGAUCGUAAAGCUCUGUUGUUAGGGAAGAACAAGUGCAAGAGUAACUGCUUGC